RNAcentral lists this ribosomal RNA (429 nucleotides) under Chloroflexota bacterium. RNAcentral describes it as "Chloroflexi bacterium partial 16S ribosomal RNA". It matches the Rfam family "Bacterial small subunit ribosomal RNA", at positions 355 to 776 of the family's 1533-position model. The record is from RNAcentral. Lineage: Bacteria; Bacillati; Chloroflexota.
UGGGGAAUAUUGCACAAUGGGCGCAAGCCUGAUGCAGCCAUGCCGCGUGUAUGAAGAAGGCCUUCGGGUUGUAAAGUACUUUCAGCGGGGAGGAAGGGAGUAAAGUUAAUACUUUUGCUCAUUGACGUUACCCGCAGAAGAAGCACCGGCUAACUCCGUGCCAGCAGCCGCGGUAAUACGGAGGGUGCAAGCGUUAAUCGGAAUUACUGGGCGUAAAGCGCACGCAGGCGGUUUGUUAAGUCAGAUGUGAAAUCCUCGGGCUCAACCUGGGAACUGCAUCUGAUACUGGCAAGCUUGAGUCUCGUAGAGGGGGGUAGAAUUCCAGGUGUAGCGGUGAAAUGCGUAGAGAUCUGGAGGAAUACCGGUGGCGAAGGCGGCCCCCUGGACGAAGACUGACGCUCAGGUGCGAAAGCGUGGGGAGCAAACAGG